AUAGCGAAUGUUUCAUCAAACAGUUUCGUUCAGUUUAAUAGCUUUAAAGGCUAUACAUUUUCUCAUUCAACUGAAAUAUGCAUCUCCUCUACUGACCUUUACACAACAGAGCGCCCCCUGGCGAGUGAGAUCUGCCCUGCCAUCAUCUUUCGUGGUCAUUUUUCAUAAACUAUAUAUAGUGCAUCUUGUAGGUUGUGGUUGGUAGUCUUCCUGAACACAGACACACACUUGGGUCUGACAUCAAGCAUUUGCCAUGUAUGUACAUUAAACAUCAGCAUUAGCAACCAAUAGCAUCCAGUGUGGUUUCAGCUUUCAAACUUCCUCUAAAUUGUUCUUACAUCCAGUCUUAAUAAACUAAACUAAACAGAGUAAAAGUGCAUUAAUGUGUCAUCUGUAUAACAAAAAAUGUCUCUACGAUGCUUGAUGUUGGUCGUCAUCUGCCUUGUGUUCAUCACCACAGAAGCUGUUUCAGAUUUAUGGGGAUUUGUCAUUUGGAUUGCCAUUGUUUCCAUCAGCAUGGUUUUUAUCAUCCUUUUCCUGUUUAUACCACCUUGUCACAAUUAUUGUGCUGCUUGCAACGGGAGACACAAGACUUUCCAGA
Long non-coding RNA from Cyprinus carpio (common carp), 601 nucleotides. RefSeq lists it as uncharacterized. The transcript has 3 exons. The record is from RefSeq and is a predicted model, not a curated record. Lineage: Eukaryota; Metazoa; Chordata; Actinopteri; Cypriniformes; Cyprinidae.